GGAGGUAGGUCCUCCGGAGUCGUCUUGCAGGAGAGGGCUUCAAACCACCGCAAGCUGCGUCGGUGAAUGAGUCGGGGUGGUGAGCGUUGCGGAAACGGCGUGCCGUGAGUGCGUCAGGU
Molecule: non-coding RNA, 119 nt
Organism: Actinobacteria bacterium 13_2_20CM_2_71_6
Lineage: Bacteria; Bacillati; Actinomycetota
Source: Rfam